AGUAACACGUGGAUAACCUACCUAUAAGACUGGGAUAACUUCGGGAAACCGGAGCUAAUACCGGAUAAUAUUUUGAGCCGCAUGGUUCAAAAGUGAAAGACGGUCUUGCUGUCACUUAUAGAUGGAUCCGCGCUGCAUUAGCUAGUUGGUAAGGUAACGGCUUACCAAGGCAACGAUGCAUAGCCGACCUGAGAGGGUGAUCGGCCACACUGGAACUGAGACACGGUCCAG
RNAcentral lists this ribosomal RNA (231 nucleotides) under uncultured Staphylococcus sp. RNAcentral's name for it is "partial 16S ribosomal RNA". It matches the Rfam family "Bacterial small subunit ribosomal RNA", at positions 109 to 334 of the family's 1533-position model. Lineage: Bacteria; Bacillati; Bacillota; Bacilli; Caryophanales; Staphylococcaceae. The record is from RNAcentral.